This 492-nucleotide ribosomal RNA is filed under the name uncultured bacterium. Its description in RNAcentral is "partial 16S ribosomal RNA". It matches the Rfam family "Bacterial small subunit ribosomal RNA", at positions 29 to 507 of the family's 1533-position model. The record is from RNAcentral.
AGUGAACGCUGGCGGUAGGCCUAACACAUGCAAGUCGAACGGCAGCACAGUAAGAGCUUGCUCUUACGGGUGGCGAGUGGCGGACGGGUGAGGAAUACAUCGGAAUCUACUUUUUCGUGGGGGUUAAGGUAGGGAAACUUACGCUAAUACCGCAACCGCCCUACGGGGGAAGGCAGGGGAUCUUCGGACCUUGCGGGAUUGAAUGAGCCGAUGUCGGAUUAGCUAGUUGGCGGGGUAAAGGCCCACCAAGGCGACGAUCCGUAGCUGGUCUGAGAGGAUGAUCAGCCACACUGGAACUGAGACACGGUCCAGACUCCUACGGGAGGCAGCAGUGGGGAAUAUUGGACAAUGGGCGCAAGCCUGAUCCAGCCAUACCGCGUGGGUGAAGAAGGCCUUCGGGUUGUAAAGCCCUUUUGUUGGGAAAGAAAAGCAGCAGGUUAAUACCCCGCUGUUCUGACGGUACCCAAAGAAUAAGCACCGGCUAACUUCGUG